This 60-nucleotide transfer RNA is filed under the name Haploginglymus sp. JP-2016. Its description in RNAcentral is "tRNA-Ser". Lineage: Eukaryota; Metazoa; Arthropoda; Malacostraca; Amphipoda; Niphargidae. The record is from RNAcentral.
AAUUAUUUAGUUUAUAAAAACAUAUGUCUUGAAAUCAUAAAAAGGUUAAUCCAAUAAUUA